This 444-nucleotide ribosomal RNA is filed under the name uncultured archaeon. RNAcentral's name for it is "bacterial SSU rRNA". It matches the Rfam family "Archaeal small subunit ribosomal RNA", at positions 25 to 471 of the family's 1478-position model. The record is from RNAcentral.
ACAUUGCUAUUGGGAUUCGAUUUAGCCAUGCUAGUCGGACGAGUUUAGACUCGUGGCAGAUAGCUCAGUAACACGUGGCCAAGCUACCCUUCAGUCGGCAAUACCCUCGGGAAACUGAGGUUAAUGGCCGAUAUGGGACGCCUGCUGGAAUGCGGCGUUCUCCAAAGAUUACGCUGAAGGAUGCGGCUGCGGCCGAUUAGGUUGACGGUGGGGUAACGGCCCACCGUGCCAGUAAUCGGUACGGGUGAUGAGAGUCAGAGCCCGGAGACGGAAUCUGAGACAAGAUUCCGGGCCCUACGGGGCGCAGCAGGCGCGAAACCUUUACACUGCACGGAAGUGCGAUAGGGGAAUCCCAAGUGCAAGGGCAUAUUAGCCCUCGCUUUUGUUGACCGUAAGGUGGUCAACGAAUAAGAGCUGGGCAAGACCGGUGCCAGCCGCCGCGGU